Molecule: non-coding RNA, 710 nt
Organism: Biomphalaria pfeifferi
Lineage: Eukaryota; Metazoa; Mollusca; Gastropoda; Planorbidae
Source: the annotation of a GenBank genome assembly
CUAAAAUAAUUGUAAUGUCCCGAGACAUGACGUUAAACUGCGCUCCUCUUUUUUGGCUUUUUUGGAGCUUAAAAGAGCCUUUCUUCUAUUCCAUCAUGAUGUCUGCCUCCUCUCUAAAUGUAAUAUUAGCUAAUAUGUUAGCAUAAUAAAAACUAGUAAAUAUAAGUAGGUUUAAAGUAAAAAUUAACUAAAAUAUUAAACUAAAUGUAGUAUUAACUUACACAUAAAUGUAGUAGAAAUAAAACACAGAUUCAAACUAAAAUAUUAGCAUAAUAUAAAACUAGAAAAUAUAAGUAGUUUGAAAGUAGACAUUAACAAUUUAAACUUUAAAACUGAAUGUAGUUUAACUUACACCUAAAUGUAGUAGAAUUAAAAUCUUUAUAGCCUGUAACCUAUCUACAUUGUCAUUGUUUUGCUGUCAACAAUGCCUUUGUUUGCUUAGGUUGUAAACAGUAGUUAGUUUAAAAAUCUAAUUAAAAAAAAUGUCUAAAUGCUAGCACUAAUUUAAUAGAUAUUCUAAUUAAAAAUAAAAUAUAAAAUCAUAACUACUGUAGUAGAAUUAAAAUUAAAAGAUUUAAACUAAUAUGUUAGCAUAAUAAAAACUAGUAAAUAUAAGUAGGUUUAAAGUAGAAAUUAACUAAAAUUUAAAACUAAAUAUAGUAUUAACUUAAACAAAAUGUAGUAGAAAUAAAACACACAUUGAAACUAAA